RNAcentral lists this long non-coding RNA (518 nucleotides) under Rattus norvegicus (Norway rat). Its description in RNAcentral is "long non-coding RNA NONRATT027444". The stretch from base 1 to 120 matches the Rfam family "Small nucleolar RNA SNORA8", at positions 18 to 139 of the family's 139-position model. The record is from RNAcentral. Lineage: Eukaryota; Metazoa; Chordata; Mammalia; Rodentia; Muridae.
GCACUCAGCAGUUCUUUCCUGUUGGGUGUUCAAAAGACAGUGCGAUAGAAAUUCAUUAUCUGGCAUCGUUGGUUUCUUGGCUUUGUGCAUGUUAAACCUGGUAUUUCUAAUGAUACAGUUUAUUUCAUAUGUACAUAUUUCUUCUGGAUGUGGGUUCUGGGGAAUAAUUGGUCUUUAAAACUUGGUUGCCUGCUGAGUGAACCAUUCCUUUUCUUCCUAGGGCGUCACAAGGGAAACCUACCUUAAAAUGGUUUUUAAAGCUAAUUGAAGAAGGGUCCCUAAAUUAAAGUAAAUUGAAGAAAUCCACAAAUCUUCUGGCUAAGAACUUAGAAGUUGCCAAUGACUGUUGGAAAAGACAGAUAAAAGAGGGCUAAAAAUAAAAAGCACAACUGGAUGCCCUUGAGGAAAGGGCUAUUUUCAGAGUGCCUGGAUGGACAGCAAAGAAAUCAAACCAACCACUUAAAUAAAAAUUUAUUGACAAUAAAUAAUUUUAUACAUUAAAAAAGAACCCUUAACAC